GAUGAAGAACGUAGCGAAAUGCGAUACUUGGUGUGAAUUGCAGAAUCCCGUGAACCAUCGAGUCUUUGAACGCAAGUUGCGCCCAAAGCCAUUAGGCCGAGGGCACGCCUGCCUGGGCGUCACACGUCGUUGCCCCCCCAUCUACUCCUUCGGGAUUGCGGGGGGCGGAUGAUGGCCUCCCGUGCGCCUCGUCGCGCGGUUGGCAUAAAUGCCAAGUCCUCGGCGACGCACGCCACGACAAUCGGUGGUUGCGAAACCUCGGUUGCCCGUCGUGUGCGGUCGUCGCGCAUCGAGGGCUCGAAAAAAUUGCCGGGCUCCGGCUCGGCUUUCAACGCGACCCCAGGUCAGGCGGGGUUACCCGCUGAAUUUAAGCAUAUCAAUAAGCGGAGGA
RNAcentral lists this unclassified non-coding RNA (391 nucleotides) under soil metagenome. RNAcentral's name for it is "partial contains 5.8S ribosomal RNA, internal transcribed spacer 2, and large subunit ribosomal RNA". The stretch from base 1 to 122 matches the Rfam family "5.8S ribosomal RNA", at positions 35 to 154 of the family's 154-position model. The record is from RNAcentral.